CCUACGGGAUGCAGCAGUGGGGAAUAUUGGGCAAUGGGCGCAAGCCUGACCCAGCGACGCCGCGUGAGGGAAGACGGUCUUCGGAUUGUAAACCUCUUUCAGCAGGGAAGACAAAAGGACGGUACCUGCAGAAGAAGCAACGGCUAACUACGUGCAAGCAGCCGCGGUAAUACGUAGGUGGCAAGCGUUGUCCGGAUUUACUGGGUGUAAAGGGCGUGCAGCCGGAGAGACAAGUCAGAUGUGAAAUCCACGGGCUCAACCCGUGAACUGCAUUUGAAAAUGGUUCCCUUGAGUGUCGGAGAGGUAAUCGGAAUUCCUUGUGUAGCGGUGAAAUGCGUAGAUAUAAGGAAGAACACCAGUGGCGAAGGCGGAUUACUGGACGAUAACUGACGGUGAGGCGCGAAAGCGUGGGGAGCAAACAGGAUUAGAUACCCCUGUAGUC
RNAcentral lists this ribosomal RNA (442 nucleotides) under uncultured bacterium. Its description in RNAcentral is "partial 16S ribosomal RNA". It matches the Rfam family "Bacterial small subunit ribosomal RNA", at positions 338 to 795 of the family's 1533-position model. The record is from RNAcentral.